UACGGAGGGUGCGAGCGUUAUCCGGAAUCACUGGGCGUAAAGCGCACGUAGGCGGCUUUUUAAGUCAGGGGUGAAAUCCUGGAGCUCAACUCCAGAACUGCCUUUGAUACUGAGAAGCUUGAGUCCGGGAGAGGUGAGUGGAACUGCGAGUGUAGAGGUGAAAUUCGUAGAUAUUCGCAAGAACACCAGUGGCGAAGGCGGCUCACUGGCCCGGUACUGACGCUGAGGCACGAAAGCGUGGGGAGCAAACAGG
Molecule: ribosomal RNA, 253 nt
Filed under: uncultured bacterium
Lineage: Bacteria
Description: partial 16S ribosomal RNA
Rfam family: Bacterial small subunit ribosomal RNA
Source: RNAcentral